This 806-nucleotide small RNA is filed under the name Pongo abelii (Sumatran orangutan). RNAcentral describes it as "processed transcript". The record is from RNAcentral. Lineage: Eukaryota; Metazoa; Chordata; Mammalia; Primates; Hominidae.
CGGCGGUGGCGCCCGGAGCCCGAGAGUUUCCAGGAUGGCUUCUGCAUCAACUUCUAAAUAUAAUUCACACUCCUUGGAGAAUGAGUCUAUUAAGAGGACGUCUCGAGAUGGAGUCAAUCGGGAUCUCACUGAGGCUGUUCCUCGACUUCCAGGAGAAACACUAAUCACUGGAUUCUGCUCUAAUACUUGAUGUUCCUCUGGGUGUGAUCUCGAGAAUUGAAAAAAUGGGAGGCGCGACAAGUAGAGGAGAAAAUUCCUAUGGUCUAGAUAUUACUUGUAAAGACAUGAGAAACCUGAGGUUCGCUUUGAAACAGGAAGGCCACAGCAGAAGAGAUAUGUUUGAGAUCCUCACGAGAUACGCGUUUCCCCUGGCUCACAGUCUUCCAUUAUUUGCAUUUUUAAAUGAAGAAAAGUUUAAUGUGGAUGGAUGGACAGUUUACAAUCCAGUGGAAGAAUACAGGAGGCAGGGCUUGCCCAAUCACCAUUGGAGAAUAACUUUUAUUAAUAAGUGCUAUGAGCUCUGUGACACUUACCCUGCUCUUUUGGUGGUUCCGUAUCGUGCCUCAGAUGAUGACCUCCGGAGAGUUGCAACUUUUAGGUCCCGAAAUCGAAUUCCAGUGCUGUCAUGGAUUCAUCCAGAAAAUAAGACAGUCAUUGUGCGUUGCAGUCAGCCUCUUGUCGGUAUGAGUGGGAAACGAAAUAAAGAUGAUGAGAAAUAUCUCGAUGUUAUCAGGGAGACUAAUAAACAAAUUUCUAAACUCACCAUUUAUGAUGCAAGACCCAGCGUAAAUGCAGUGGCCAACAAG